This 1392-nucleotide long non-coding RNA is filed under the name Citrus sinensis (sweet orange). Its description in RNAcentral is "long non-coding RNA (CSIN_LNC002044)". Lineage: Eukaryota; Viridiplantae; Streptophyta; Magnoliopsida; Sapindales; Rutaceae. The record is from RNAcentral.
CUUUAAAUUGGCAUCCCCAGCUUAGCUAGUAUAAAUUAGUUAUACUAUUAGUAGUUUGUUAGUACAUGCUGCUCAGCUCACGAAUGCUUUACUCAUCCAUAUUGAUUCUGGAAUAUUCAAGAAUCUUGUAUAAAUACAAUUAUAAUCAGCUAAAAGAAGUGUGAUUCAGUUUUAUUCACCAAAUUCAACUCUUAGUUGCUCUAUGUUCUUUCCUUCAUCUUGUCUCAUUUUCUCAUUUGCCAAACACUUUUGGAAACUUUAACCAAACAUGAAUAUGAAGCUAACAUGUUGAUUAGCACACAACAUUUAUGUUAGGCUUAUUAGCUCCUAAUUAAUCUUAACAAUGUAACGCCAUGGUAAAAAAUAGAAGUUAAAACAACUAACAACAUAUAUAUGAUCAAUGUUACAAGUAACAAGAAGAAGAUGUUGCAUAUAUAAUGCAAUAGAACUAUAAAUUCGACACCUGAUUAAACUUUUUCAGCAAUUUGGAGGGAGUAAAAUGAAAAAUAACACAUUCUAAUUAUUAAACAAACAUUCAUUAUUUUAUUUUUUGUAGGAGUACUAAAUUAAUGUUGAGUCUAGUUGCCGAUGGAAGGGCUUGGAUUUGACUGCUGCAAAAUUCGGUGGUCACCUGCAGCCUCGGGAAUUCCCAUAGUAUUAGCCAUUUCAUAACCAUAUCGUCUACCAAAAGAAAUCGGUGUCGUUUUGCCCUUUAAAACAGGAACCUUCAUUGCCUCCAUGCUCAAGAUUUUUCUACCUGCACAAGAAGGUACAUAAAACAUAACAGUAACAAGCACAAAGACAACUGCAAUUUUGCUCAGAAAGACCAUAUUUUCAAAAUAAUGCUUAGGAAAGAAAAUGAGAUCUUGUAGAGGAUGACUAGUACUGAUUUAUUUAUUCACAAGUUACUUCACAAAUGUGAGUACAUAAGUAUUUAUAGAGGACAAUAAACAGUAUAUCUUGUGAAUGUAAAUGUGGGUUAGGUACAUUUGAACCAGCAGCUGUCUGCAGGUAUAUUUUCCCACCAUUUUCAUGCAUGUAUUAAGUCUGCUAAAUUAUUGAAAACGAUGAGCAAAACAUAUAUAAUGGGAUAGAGAAAGCAAACUGAUCAAUAAUGGCUGCGACUAAAACUGAUGGAAUUAUUUGACAUUUUCUUAUUUUGACUCAAUAGAAGUUGACAUAUUAGUUAAUAAUUGUCUUUUUUUUUAUUUAAAAAAAAAAACCGUUUUAUUAAGAUUUUGUUGUUAACGUAUGUCUUUAAAGUUUGUACUAGUAGAGAAACUGCAUCUUUUUGGCUGGCCACCGAUUUUAAAGCAGAAUGGUAAAAAAAAUUAAGACAAACAGAAGGCAGGUAUUUAAACAACAAACAAUUAUAAUGCAACUAUUAAGUCU